AAGGCGAGAGCUGAUCUAGGAAGCUUAGUGAGCACAUUCAACCCUCGCGUUAAAGCUUGGCCAAACGCAUCGAUCGAUAUCUAAUCGAAUAAUCGGUCGACGGUUCAACAAGUGUAUCGAUCGAUACUCAUAUAGAAUCAUCGACAACACUUAUAUCUGGUCAAUAGACAAACCUAGAAAGCGAGAGCCUAUCAGUUUGUUUAUAAGUGUUGAGCUCUAUAGUAUCAUGGAUACAACUUGUUAGGCAUCUGUAGGAUUAUAAUUUUGACUACCUGAAUAAAAACCCUAAGUCUAGCUAUUUUCAUCUAAGUACCAAAACCCCC
This 323-nucleotide long non-coding RNA is filed under the name Brassica napus (rape). Its description in RNAcentral is "long non-coding RNA (BNAP_LNC000324)". Lineage: Eukaryota; Viridiplantae; Streptophyta; Magnoliopsida; Brassicales; Brassicaceae. The record is from RNAcentral.